This 345-nucleotide transfer-messenger RNA is filed under the name Candidatus Hydrogenedentes bacterium CG1_02_42_14. It matches the Rfam family "transfer-messenger RNA". From Rfam's summary of the family: Bacterial tmRNA, also known as 10Sa RNA or SsrA, is named for its dual tRNA and mRNA-like properties. Its role is to liberate the mRNA from a stalled ribosome. The record is from RNAcentral. RNAcentral also lists the same sequence under 1 other name. Lineage: Bacteria; Pseudomonadati; Candidatus Hydrogenedentota.
GGGGGCGCAAGGUUUUGACGGCGACGGAAUUGUCGAGGUGGCGCGCUGGGGCAUGCUUAGUUGCCUCGUAAAAAAUACUGAGCAACUUUUAACUGCCAACACUGAAUUGGCUCUAGCCGCGUAAGCGGCAGACUGCAUAGGCGACGCCCGCUGACUCUUGCAGUCCUCAUAGCGGGCUGGCUUUCGGUUAUGUACCGGGGAUCGGGAGCGAGGAGAACACUCGGACUAGCGGAAAGGGAAGCCUGUCCAUGGGCCAUCUUUUUGCGAAAUUAAUACACGGACUACGCGCGUAGAAACCCGAUGAAACAGUUGUUCGGACGUGGGUUCGAUUCCCACCGCCUCCAA